GCAGAGCCUUAGUAGUAUAACUAUUACACUGGUCUUG
Molecule: transfer RNA, 37 nt
Filed under: Crocidura attenuata
Lineage: Eukaryota; Metazoa; Chordata; Mammalia; Eulipotyphla; Soricidae
Description: partial tRNA-Thr
Source: RNAcentral